Molecule: long non-coding RNA, 2765 nt
Organism: Mytilus californianus (California mussel)
Lineage: Eukaryota; Metazoa; Mollusca; Bivalvia; Mytilida; Mytilidae
Exons: 4
Source: RefSeq, a predicted model, not a curated record
AAGAGCUGUAAUUUACUCUUUUUAAGUUGUCCAAUAAUUUAAAACAAACACACUUAAAAGACACAUAUAAUAUAAUUUAACCAAUCUUCUGAAAAAUAUACGUGUAAUUGUAUUGAAUCAAAUUGAAUACGUAGUAUAUAAAAUGUAUCAAUAUAAUAUUGUUAUGCUAAUGCUUAUGCUUAAUUUAACAGUUACUUUUAAAAGUUUAUUUUAAUACUUGUUAUUAUUUUUACCAAACAAAGUUGUUGCGCUGAAAUUUUGUUCAACUGAGGACCAUCUUGUUUUAAUUUGUUUAAAUGUCAAUAACUAAGUUAGUAUUUGUGUUCAAUUAAUUUUCUAUGCUCACCAUUUGUCUAUGGCUACAUACUCAUAUGUUAUUGUAUAUGUUUUCCUUACAAAGAUAACACAUUUGAAUUAUGCAUCAUUUGGUUCCAUUUUUCAUAAACAAACAUUAUUCAUUUGUAAAUGUAUUUUCUUUUUAUCUUGUUUUACAUCAAAUGGACCUUUAUUGGGCGAGAUGCAUGUAAUAAUAUACUGAUUAAAUUUCCAUAACCGACAGAACUUCCUCACAUUUGGUCUGGAUUACCAGAAACGCUGUUAGGACACCAUAUUCCACUUUAGUAAUCACUUGAUCGUAAAUUGGAGACAGCGAGUCAGUUGCAAAAUGUAUAUCGUUCUUAAUGCAAGUGUUGAAAACGUGCUUCACAAUAAUCCAGCUAAAUAGCCAUUUGGAAUACCAAAGAUUUUGUCACGCGUUUUAAAGUGCCUGUGGCAUGGAAAACAUGUAUUGUAGAAUACAACAGGAGCCAUAUGAAAUCCAUUUUGUUGAAAGAAUACUUCUCCAAAUAUAAGAAAUGUUUGGUUUACAACUAGAUACAAAAUUCGUUCUUAAAAAUGCUUAUAUACAAAAGCUAGUACUGCUGUGUAAUGUUAUGUUCUUAUUUUUCACAUUUUGAAAUGCAAUUGAUUACCUAUAACACAUGGAAUAACAUACGACAAUAACGUUUGGUACUAGUAUGAGAAAUUUUGAUUUAUAAAAAUGUGCCGUUAAUGAUAAUCUAUGUAUGCUACGUUCUACUGUACAUAAAAAGAAGAUAACAAAAUGUCAAUCCUUCAUUUGAAUUAAGUUGUUAUAUAUACAUGACUGUGAAAACUAUUUUCCCUUGUUUAAUGAGGACAAAUAUUUAUGUCUAUCGAGGACUUUUUGUCUAACUUUGUUUAACUAAGACGAAAUUUCCUGCCUUUUUGUAAUUCGGUUUGUUUUAAAGCUUAUUUUCUACUUAUUCUCAGGUUAAUUUCAACAUUUAAGGUCUGAGCAUUUAUGAAGACAAUUAGAUAGCAGAGGAGACUUAAUAAUUUUGGGUUACAUUUAUUGACGUAGGUUUGAAAUUAAAAAAGAAAUAAGUCCGCGUAAAAUGAAUUUAAGAAUAUGAACAGUCUGAUCCAUACAAAAGGUAGCCAGGUAAAACUAUACUAUUCAAUCUACCUAUAGCUUGGAAUGUAGCGACUGGUAUUGAAAUGGUUUUGACGUAACGAUUUAAUUCUAAACAAGUUAAGUUCUUAGAACUUGAUUUAAAAAAAAAACAAACUAGUUUCCUGUGUCCAAGUCUGUAGUAACGUUUUACAUUUCAUUAACCGUAGUUUAUGUAGUACUGGUCAAUCAUUAAAAUAUUAGAUAAGUCGUCUCGAUUCAACAUAGAUAACUCAAAAUCUUUACUUAAUUCUUUCAUAUAUACACAAAUGUGGAUUGGGCGUUGGACCGGUUGAAACCUUUUAGCAAUUUUGAUAUCAAAUCCUACUUUAAACGGCAAUACAGUUUAUACACCUUGCAAAUUUAAAUAUGAUUCUAGAAACUUAUUGUUCCUAUGAAUAAAGCAAUCAAUUCAUCAUUGUAUCGAGGAUUUGAAUGUUGUCUUUAUUUAUACAAACAUUGAUUUUAUCUUAAUAGUAUUAAAAAUCAUUGAAAAUAGAUUGGUAUCCUGGGUCCUAUAUCCAGCAGAUACAUAUAUUGUGGCAUGGCACAAUAUCAUGUUUUUCUCAGAGUGCUUAUGAAGUCUGAAGUCUUAACACGGUUUGUUAGGAGUAUACUAUUUCAUGUUUGUCUUCGAGAACAUGGUUUAUUUAUUAGUUGGAAUAGAGUUUUGAAUUAGCUUUCAUUAACUACGAGAACUUUCAAAUCGGUAGUAUGUGUCCGUUGUCCUUUGUCGUUUUGCUAUUUGUUUUUUGUGGGUAGUUAGUUACGGUAUGACAAGAUAAGCGCUUUGCAAUUGUUUUUUUAUUAUUAUUAUGUUGUGUCGUUACAUUACUAUUCAUAGUUAAGAAUAUUGAGCUCUAAGAAAGAAGUUAAACCCCACCAUAUUGUUCAUGUGCCUUUCCGAAGAGAGGAACCAGUAACCCAAUAGUUGUCGUUGUUUGCUGUCUGCCAUAUUUGUUUUUCGUGCAUUGCUGUAGUAUAAUUGAAAUCAUUAGUUUUCUCCCAUUUUAUCCUCCAUGGCCUUGUAUAUCUAACUAUACGGUAUUGGUGUUGUUAUUGUUAAUUGUUGAAAGCCGUCGCUGAACUCUAAUUGUUGCAGAUUUGACACCCGGGCCUACGGUCAUAAAACUUAACUCUGUACUCGGGAGUACGAAAUUUGUGCUCGAAACACCAAAUCCCGUAUUUUGAUUGGUUAAAUUCUGAAUCUGAGUAUAAUCGCAAAACUUGGUAUUUGAGGAAAGAUUGAAAACGAUACCACAUCUCCUUGAAUAAAUACUUGUGUUUGUCGUUA